This 73-nucleotide transfer RNA is filed under the name Pyricularia oryzae 70-15. RNAcentral describes it as "tRNA-Phe (GAA) (tRNA-Phe-GAA-2-1)". It matches the Rfam family "tRNA". Rfam says of the family: Transfer RNA (tRNA) molecules are approximately 80 nucleotides in length. Their secondary structure includes four short double-helical elements and three loops (D, anti-codon, and T loops). Further hydrogen bonds mediate the characteristic L-shaped molecular structure. tRNAs have two regions of fundamental functional importance: the anti-codon, which is responsible for specific mRNA codon recognition, and the 3' end, to which the tRNAs corresponding amino acid is attached (by aminoacyl-tRNA synthetases). tRNAs cope with the degeneracy of the genetic code in two manners: having more than one tRNA (with a specific anti-codon) for a particular amino acid; and 'wobble' base-pairing, i.e. permitting non-standard base-pairing at the 3rd anti-codon position. The record is from RNAcentral. Lineage: Eukaryota; Fungi; Ascomycota; Sordariomycetes; Magnaporthales; Pyriculariaceae. RNAcentral also lists the same sequence under 4 other names.
GCGAGUUUAGCUCAGUUGGGAGAGCGUCAGACUGAAGAUCUGAAGGUCAUGUGUUCGAUCCACAUAAACCGCA